This 1646-nucleotide non-coding RNA is filed under the name Saccharomyces cerevisiae YJM1311. Its description in RNAcentral is "15S ribosomal RNA". It matches the Rfam family "Bacterial small subunit ribosomal RNA". Lineage: Eukaryota; Fungi; Ascomycota; Saccharomycetes; Saccharomycetales; Saccharomycetaceae. RNAcentral also lists the same sequence under 2 other names. The record is from RNAcentral.
GUAAAAAAUUUAUAAGAAUAUGAUGUUGGUUCAGAUUAAGCGCUAAAUAAGGACAUGACACAUGCGAAUCAUACGUUUAUUAUUGAUAAGAUAAUAAAUAUGUGGUGUAAACGUGAGUAAUUUUAUUAGGAAUUAAUGAACUAUAGAAUAAGCUAAAUACUUAAUAUAUUAUUAUAUAAAAAUAAUUUAUAUAAUAAAAAGGAUAUAUAUAUAAUAUAUAUUUAUCUAUAGUCAAGCCAAUAAUGGUUUAGGUAGUAGGUUUAUUAAGAGUUAAACCUAGCCAACGAUCCAUAAUCGAUAAUGAAAGUUAGAACGAUCACGUUGACUCUGAAAUAUAGUCAAUAUCUAUAAGAUACAGCAGUGAGGAAUAUUGGACAAUGAUCGAAAGAUUGAUCCAGUUACUUAUUAGGAUGAUAUAUAAAAAUAUUUUAUUUUAUUUAUAAAUAUUUAAUAUUUAUAAUAAUAAUAAUAAUAAUAUAUAUAUAUAAAUUGAUUAAAAAUAAAAUCCAUAAAUAAUUAAAAUAAUGAUAUUAAUUACCAUAUAUAUUUUAUAUGGAUAUAUAUAUUAAUAAUAAUAUUAAUUUAUUAUUAUUAAUAAUAUAUUUUAAUAGUCCUGACUAAUAUUUGUGCCAGCAGUCGCGGUAACACAAAGAGGGCGAGCGUUAAUCAUAAUGGUUUAAAGGAUCCGUAGAAUGAAUUAUAUAUUAUAAUUUAGAGUUAAUAAAAUUAAUUAAAGAAUUAUAAUAGUAAAGAUGAAAUAAUAAUAAUAAUUAUAAGACUAAUAUAUGUGAAAAUAUUAAUUAAAUAUUAACUGACAUUGAGGGAUUAAAACUAGAGUAGCGAAACGGAUUCGAUACCCGUGUAGUUCUAGUAGUAAACUAUGAAUACAAUUAUUUAUAAUAUAUAUUAUAUAUAAAUAAUAAAUGAAAAUGAAAGUAUUCCACCUGAAGAGUACGUUAGCAAUAAUGAAACUCAAAACAAUAGACGGUUACAGACUUAAGCAGUGGAGCAUGUUAUUUAAUUCGAUAAUCCACGACUAACCUUACCAUAUUUUGAAUAUUAUAAUAAUUAUUAUAAUUAUUAUAUUACAGGCGUUACAUUGUUGUCUUUAGUUCGUGCUGCAAAGUUUUAGAUUAAGUUCAUAAACGAACAAAACUCCAUAUAUAUAAUUUUAAUUAUAUAUAAUUUUAUAUUAUUUAUUAAUAUAAAGAAAGGAAUUAAGACAAAUCAUAAUGAUCCUUAUAAUAUGGGUAAUAGACGUGCUAUAAUAAAAUGAUAAUAAAAUUAUAUAAAAUAUAUUUAAUUAUAUUUAAUUAAUAAUAUAAAACAUUUUAAUUUUUAAUAUAUUUUUUUAUUAUAUAUUAAUAUGAAUUAUAAUCUGAAAUUCGAUUAUAUGAAAAAAGAAUUGCUAGUAAUACGUAAAUUAGUAUGUUACGGUGAAUAUUCUAACUGUUUCGCACUAAUCACUCAUCACGCGUUGAAACAUAUUAUUAUCUUAUUAUUUAUAUAAUAUUUUUUAAUAAAUAUUAAUAAUUAUUAAUUUAUAUUUAUUUAUAUCAGAAAUAAUAUGAAUUAAUGCGAAGUUGAAAUACAGUUACCGUAGGGGAACCUGCGGUGGGCUUAUAAAUAUCUUAAAUAUUCUUACA